This 449-nucleotide ribosomal RNA is filed under the name uncultured bacterium. RNAcentral's name for it is "partial 16S ribosomal RNA". It matches the Rfam family "Bacterial small subunit ribosomal RNA", at positions 29 to 523 of the family's 1533-position model. The record is from RNAcentral.
AACGAACGCUGGCGGCAGGCCUAACACAUGCAAGUCGAACGCCCUAGCAAUAGGGAGUGGCAGACGGGUGAGUAACACGUGGGAACCUUCCCUAUAGUACGGAAUAGCCCAGGGAAACUUGGAGUAAUACCGUAUGCGCCCGAAAGGGGAAAGAUUUAUCGCUAUAGGAUGGGCCCGCGCCGGAUUAGCUAGUUGGUGGGGUUAUGGCUCACCACGGCAACGAUCCGUAGCUGGUUUGAGAGAAUGACCAGACACACUGGGACUGGGACACGGCCCAGACUCAUACGGGAGGACGCAGUGGGGAAUCUUGGACAAUGGGCGCAAGCCUGAUCCAGCCAUGCCGCGUGAGUGAUGAAGACCCUAGGGUUGUAAAGAUCUUUUGUCGGGGACGAUAAUGACGGUACCCGAAGAAUAAGCUCCGGCUAACUUCGUGCCAGCCGCCGCCGUAA